This 78-nucleotide transfer RNA is filed under the name Arthrobacter sp. MN05-02. RNAcentral describes it as "tRNA-Leu". The record is from RNAcentral. Lineage: Bacteria; Bacillati; Actinomycetota; Actinomycetes; Micrococcales; Micrococcaceae.
CUGGUUCAGAGCCGCGGGGUCGGCCCGGUGGUUCAGAGCCGCGGGGUCGGGCUGGUGGUUCAGUGCCGCUGGUUCAGA